This 2238-nucleotide ribosomal RNA is filed under the name Paraclostridium sordellii. RNAcentral's name for it is "partial 23S ribosomal RNA". It matches the Rfam family "Bacterial large subunit ribosomal RNA", at positions 403 to 2925 of the family's 2925-position model. Lineage: Bacteria; Bacillati; Bacillota; Clostridia; Peptostreptococcales; Peptostreptococcaceae. The record is from RNAcentral.
UGAUCCAGAGUACCACGGGACACGUGAAACCCUGUGGGAAGCAGGAGGGACCAUCCUCCAAGGCUAAAUACUACUUAGUGACCGAUAGCGCAUAGUACCGUGAGGGAAAGGUGAAAAGAACCCCGGGAGGGGAGUGAAAUAGAACCUGAAACCCUGUGCUUACAAGCUGUGGGAGCACUUUAUAUGUGUGACCGCGUACUUUUUGUAGAACGGGCCAACGAGUUACGACAGUAAGCAAGGUUAAGUACUUAAGGUAUGGAGCCGUAGUGAAAGCGAGUCUUAAAUGGGCGUUAAGUUUUCUGUCGUAGACCCGAAACCGGGCGACCUACCCAUGAGCAGGAUGAAGCGAAAGUAAAAUUUCGUGGAGGUCCGAACCCACGAGCGUUGAAAAGCUCGGGGAUGACUUGUGGGUAGCGGUGAAAUUCCAAUCGAGCCCGGAGAUAGCUGGUUCUCCCCGAAAUAGCUUUAGGGCUAGCCUCAAGGUUGAGAAAUACGGAGGUAGAGCACUGAAUAUCCUAGGGGGCAUUGCGCUUACCGAAGAUUAUCAAACUCCGAAUGCCGUUAUUUUAUACUUGGGAGUCAGACUGUGGGUAAUAAGAUUCAUAGUCGAGAGGGCAACAGCCCAGAUCGUCAGCUAAGGUCCCUAAAUGUAAGUUAAGUGGUAAAGGAUGUGGGAUUGCAUAGACAACCAGGAUGUUGGCUUAGAAGCAGCCACUCAUUUAAAGAGUGCGUAAUAGCUCACUGGUCGAGUGAUCCUGCGCCGAAGAUUACCGGGGCUAAAACUUACUACCGAAGCUACGAUAUCAUUUAUGAUAGGUAGGGGAGCUUCCUAUGCAGGCUGAAGCAUGACCGUAAGGACAUGUGGACAGUAUAGGAGUGAGAAUGUUGGCAUGAGUAGCGAGACGUGGGUGAGAAUCCCACGGGCCGUAAACCCAAGGUUUCCAGGGGAAGGUUCGUCCGCCCUGGGUUAGUCGGGACCUAAGCCGAGGCCGAAAGGCGUAGGUGAUGGACAACAGGUUGAGAUUCCUGUACCACCGAUAAUCGCUUGAGAGAAGGAAUGACACAGUAGGAUAAGCUAACCACACUGUUGGUUAUGUGUGGCUAAGUACUGAGGCAGUCAAGGUAGGCAAAUCCGCCUUGAUAAUGCUGGGGUACGAUGGGGAGCGAAAUUAAGUAGCGAAGUAGCUGAUUUCACACUGUCGAGAAAAGUUUCUAUCGAGAUUAAAGGUGCCCGUACCGCAAACCGACACAGGUGGGUGAGGAGAGUAUCCUAAGGCCAGCGAGAGAACUGUUGUUAAGGAACUCGGCAAAAUGACCCCGUAACUUAGGGAGAAGGGGUGCCACGUUAGGGUUAACGCCCGAGGUGGCCGCAGAGAAUAGGCCCAAGCGACUGUUUACCAAAAACACAGGUUUCUGCUAAGUCGCAAGACGAUGUAUAGGAGCUGACGCACGGCGGCCGUAACUAUAACGGUCCUAAGGUAGCGAAAUUCCUUGUCGGGUAAGUUCCGACCCGCACGAAAGGCGUAACGAUUUGGGCACUGUCUCAACAACAGACUCGGUGAAAUUGUAAUCCCGGUGAAGAUGCCGGGUACCUGCGACAGGACGGAAAGACCCCAUGGAGCUUUACUGUAGCUUGACAUUGAAUUUUGGUGCUACAUGUACAGGAUAGGUGGGAGGCUAUGAAGUCGGGACGCCAGUCUCGGCGGAGCCAUCCUUGGGAUACCACCCUUGUAGUACUGAGAUUCUAACCAGAUACCUUGAAUCAGGUAUUGGGACACUGUCAGGUGGGCAGUUUGACUGGGGCGGUCGCCUCCGGCCAUCGCUCAACGGAUAAAAGCUACCCUGGGGAUAACAGGCUUAUCUCCCCCAAGAGUCCACAUCGACGGGGAGGUUUGGCACCUCGAUGUCGGCUCAUCACAUCCUGGGGCUGUAGUAGGUCCCAAGGGUUGGGCUGUUCGCCCAUUAAAGUGGUACGCGAGCUGGGUUCAGAACGUCGUGAGACAGUUCGGUCCCUAUCCGUCGCAGGCGUAGGAAAUUUGAGGAGACCUGUCCUUAGUACGAGAGGACCGGGAUGGACGUACCUCUGGUGUACCAGUUGUUCUGCCAAGGGCAUGGCUGGGUAGCUAUGUACGGAAUGGAUAAGCGCUGAAAGCAAAGACUACCUGGUUGAUAGGUCAAAGGUGUAAGUGCAGCAAUGCAUGUAGCUUAUUGAUACUAAUAGAUCGAGGACUUGACCAA